RNAcentral lists this long non-coding RNA (264 nucleotides) under Elaeis guineensis (African oil palm). Its description in RNAcentral is "long non-coding RNA (EGUI_LNC068378)". The record is from RNAcentral. Lineage: Eukaryota; Viridiplantae; Streptophyta; Magnoliopsida; Arecales; Arecaceae.
GCAUCGAUAUCGGACAAUGCAAAAGCUGAAGGAAGCUCGGCAAAUGACAAUUCAACACAUGAGUAAAGGAGGUAACGAAAAAUUCCCUUUGCAUUAAUUAAGUAUAUAUUACAGAGCCCUUGAGGCUGAAGAAGAAAGAUGACAAGACAAGCAAGCCGAUGCGGCGAUGACCAAGAACCUCUAGACGACAUCGGCAUCAAAAAGAAAAAGAAAAGCUACAACACCAACAAACAAACAAGCAGCAAAAGGAGACAUAUAGGAGGA